UUUGUCUCUUCCUCUCUCUCUGACUCCCUCUUUAUGUCUCUGUCUCUUCCUCUCUCUCUGCCUUUUUCUCUCUUUUUCCUCUCUCUCGCUCUCUUUCCUCUCUGCUGGUCUUUCCUGCCUCUGCCAGCUGCUUAUGCGGCUGUUCUCCCCUCUCCUUCCCCUUUUAUCCUGGAGACUAAAAGUUCCUCUGAGGAGGUGGCAACAUUAGACGGGGGGAAACAAACAGAGGAGUGAGC
RNAcentral lists this long non-coding RNA (236 nucleotides) under Homo sapiens (human). RNAcentral's name for it is "non-protein coding lnc-REV1-1:1". The record is from RNAcentral. Lineage: Eukaryota; Metazoa; Chordata; Mammalia; Primates; Hominidae.